RNAcentral lists this ribosomal RNA (514 nucleotides) under uncultured bacterium. RNAcentral's name for it is "bacterial SSU rRNA". It matches the Rfam family "Bacterial small subunit ribosomal RNA", at positions 9 to 518 of the family's 1533-position model. The record is from RNAcentral.
AGAGUUGAUCCUGGCUAGGAUGAACGCUAGCGACAGGCUACACAUGCAAGUCGAGGGGCAGCACGGGAGUAGCAAUACAACUGGUGGCGACCGGCGCACGGGUGAGUAACGCGUAUGCAACCUACCAUCAGAGGGGAAUAACCCGGCGAAAGUCGGACUAAUACCGCAUAAAACAGGGGCACCGCAUGGUGAUAUUUGUUAAAGAAAUUCGCUGAUAGAUGGGCAUGCGUUCCAUUAGGUAGUUGGUGAGGUAACGGCUCACCAAGCCGACGAUGGAUAGGGGAACUGAGAGGUUGGUCCCCCACACUGGUACUGAGACACGGACCAGACUCCUACGGGAGGCAGCAGUGAGGAAUAUUGGUCAAUGGGCGAGAGCCUGAACCAGCCAAGUCGCGUGAAGGAAGAAGGAUCUAUGGUUCGUAAACUUCUUUUGCAGGGGAAUAAAGUGCGGGACGUGUCCUGUUUUGUAUGUACCCUGAGAAUAAGGAUCGGCUAACUCCGUGCCAGCCGCUGC